Long non-coding RNA from Molossus molossus (Pallas's mastiff bat), 639 nucleotides. RefSeq lists it as uncharacterized. Lineage: Eukaryota; Metazoa; Chordata; Mammalia; Chiroptera; Molossidae. The transcript has 3 exons. The record is from RefSeq and is a predicted model, not a curated record.
GCGCCAACGCCUUACCACCUUCGGGACCCCUGGAUCCUGCUGCAGCUGGACCGUGGCAUAUAUUUGCAUCCCUGGUUGAAAUGUGUCAUGCCCAGAGCCUGGCCUACGACUUGGUCCAUGGGGUCCACUUCUUACUGGGAGGUGUCAUGUCUGUGCCUGUAUUGGAUAUAAGGAGACUACAGCAGGCUCUUGGACAUUGUUAACUUCCAAGGUGACAGUGGCAGUGGUGGCUUGUGAAGCCAUGGCCAAAAUGAAGACUUGAGACCUUUGCAACAAGAAGAAGGAUCUGAAGGUGGGAGUGUCCCAGUUGUGUGUCGUCAAAGUGACAGGUGGUGGCAUGUUUUCCUAGCUCUCUAAGAACUAAAUUGUUAACAAAUCCAUUGCCCAUGUUCUCUCCAUCAUUAAUGAGACUCAGAACCUUAGGAAAUUCUACAAGGGCAAGAAGUACAAGUCCCUGGAUCUGCAGUCCAAGAAAACAUGGGCCAUGCUCUACCCGCUCAACAAGCAAGAAGAGAAUGUGAAGACCGAGAAGCAGCAGUGGACCCUAGCCAGUUUUUCUCAGUGGUUAGAGCUUGGCCUGUAGACCAAAGAAUCACAAGAUCGAUCCCAGUCAACGGCAUGUACCUCGAUUGUGCUUAG